This 252-nucleotide ribosomal RNA is filed under the name uncultured bacterium. RNAcentral describes it as "partial 16S ribosomal RNA". It matches the Rfam family "Bacterial small subunit ribosomal RNA", at positions 524 to 776 of the family's 1533-position model. The record is from RNAcentral.
UACGUAGGGAGCGAGCGUUAUCCGGAUUUAUUGGGCGUAAAGGGUGCGUAGGCUGAUAAACAGGUCUAAGGUCUAAGUCCGAAGCUUAACUUCGGUUCGCCUUAGAAACCAGUUAUCUAGAGUAUGGUAGAGGCAAGUGGAAUUUCUAGUGUAGCGGUAAAAUGCGUAGAUAUUAGAAGGAACACCAGUGGCGAAGGCGACUUGCUGGACCAUAACUGACGCUGAGGCACGAAAGCGUGGGGAGCAAAUAGG